Molecule: long non-coding RNA, 1014 nt
Filed under: Ananas comosus (pineapple)
Lineage: Eukaryota; Viridiplantae; Streptophyta; Magnoliopsida; Poales; Bromeliaceae
Description: long non-coding RNA (ACOM_LNC034726)
Source: RNAcentral
GGCAGUGUUUGAGGGGUGUUUUUGCAAUUGUGCUUUUCUAUAACUACACCCCACGCCUCUUCGAGGCUACCCUGAUGUAAUAUACCGAACUUCUAAUUCAUGAAGUUAAGAUGUAUGUUAGCUUAGAAAGCCGUUGGAAUCAUUCCGGCGAAGUUCGGGAGCAUUCGGGUGCUUCGGUGCGCAUAGGGCGCGAAAACGGGACCCGAAAGGCUAUGUUGGACCAUGGACUAAAUCCGGCAUUAGCGUGGAUGAAAAGAUGAUGAAAACAUGUUUGAAAACAUGUUUGGAGAGUCUCGGUUCGAUUUGAAAAGAAACGGAGGUCAAACGAGCGAAAACGAGCGAAAACGGAGUGAAAAAGGAUAAAGGCUGAAAAUGNUGGAUAGUCUCGGUUCGAUUUGAAAAGAAACGGAGGUCAAACGAGCGAAAACGAGCGAAAACGGAGUGAAAAAGGAUAAAGGCUGAAAAUGCUGAAAAUUUGGCUAAGUCUGGAAUUCUGGCCUUUCGGGGACCGGUCUCUCACCGCAAGGACCGGUCUCAGAACCCCGAAAAUGCCCAGUUUGGGCUGUUGCGAGGGAAGCAUUGUGGAGGGGCUUAAGUGCAAAAUGGCACUUAUGAGAGUGUAUAGAGAGGAUCCUUUCUCUCUUUCCCUCAUUUCUCUCACUCUCCCACACCAAAACUCUCCCUCUCUCUCUCUAGAAAGGAAAGGAGAAGAGAAGAAGAAGAAGAGAAAGAAGAAGAAGAAAAGGAAAAGAAGGUGAAGCAAGUGGAGAGCUUCCCUCCAUCAUCUUCUUCUUCACCUUGGAGCAAGCUUCUUGAGGUAAGCUUCUUGGAGCUUUAAUGGUAGAUCUUUAGGGUUAAGUUCUUAUACUCUAAAGAUGAUUUUAAUGGAAUCUUAGCAUGCUAAAUAGAUGGUUUAUGCUUGAUUCAUGAGAUGAAAUGGGGCAUUUUGCUAUAAUUGCAUUUAGGGCUCCAAAAAGGGGUUUUUGUAAAUAGUUGAGUUUGAUCUCAAUUGAC